This 193-nucleotide small RNA is filed under the name Pseudomonas sp. StFLB209. RNAcentral describes it as "RgsA sRNA". It matches the Rfam family "RgsA sRNA". From Rfam's summary of the family: P16 sRNA appears to be conserved across several Pseudomonas species and Azotobacter vinelandii. In these species it is consistently located downstream of a predicted TatD deoxyribonuclease gene. Lineage: Bacteria; Pseudomonadati; Pseudomonadota; Gammaproteobacteria; Pseudomonadales; Pseudomonadaceae. The record is from Rfam by way of RNAcentral.
CAAUAACGGUUUUAGUAUUCCAAAACUGUUUAAAAAAUGACCAAUGGCGACUGGCAGGCCAGGUAUUCUCAUCAAUACUUAAAGCGUUGGUACGCAUUCCCCCCAAAUGCCGCACCAAUAAAGGCAUUCAUGGAUGGCAUGCCUUUGUUUUACUCCUAAUGGUCUUGACCCGGUUUCACCCCCCAGAAUCCGG